Molecule: transfer RNA, 67 nt
Filed under: Gadus ogac (Greenland cod)
Lineage: Eukaryota; Metazoa; Chordata; Actinopteri; Gadiformes; Gadidae
Description: tRNA-Ala
Rfam family: tRNA
About the family: Transfer RNA (tRNA) molecules are approximately 80 nucleotides in length. Their secondary structure includes four short double-helical elements and three loops (D, anti-codon, and T loops). Further hydrogen bonds mediate the characteristic L-shaped molecular structure. tRNAs have two regions of fundamental functional importance: the anti-codon, which is responsible for specific mRNA codon recognition, and the 3' end, to which the tRNAs corresponding amino acid is attached (by aminoacyl-tRNA synthetases). tRNAs cope with the degeneracy of the genetic code in two manners: having more than one tRNA (with a specific anti-codon) for a particular amino acid; and 'wobble' base-pairing, i.e. permitting non-standard base-pairing at the 3rd anti-codon position.
Source: RNAcentral
GGUCUUAGCUUAAUUAAAGUAUUUGUUUUGCAUACAGAAGAUGUGGGGUAGUGCCCUGCAGAUCUUA